Molecule: long non-coding RNA, 943 nt
Filed under: Ananas comosus (pineapple)
Lineage: Eukaryota; Viridiplantae; Streptophyta; Magnoliopsida; Poales; Bromeliaceae
Description: long non-coding RNA (ACOM_LNC024897)
Source: RNAcentral
AUAUAAUAUACAUUUAGGCGGUGUUUAGUUCAGAAAUAAGGGAAAAGUAAAUCCUUAUUCUCACAUUUGUUCUCAAACAAAAAUUUUCUUACUCACUGAUCGUUCCUAGAGCAAGUGGGAAAGGGCUUGGUGGUUAGUACCUAAGACCCAAGUUCGAAUCCUAGUUGAUUUAUAUUUUUAGCUAAGUUUAUUUCUGAAUGAAAUAAACAAAGCGGGUAGCGUGCUACUUAUCUCUCUCAAAAAAAAAAAAAAAAAAAAUCGUACUCAAGAACAGUAAUUUUCGAAUCCUUGGAAUAAGUUAGUAUAACCGGGCGGUUCAGAAACAAGGAAAAAAUAAGUUCUUAUUUCUCCAUUUAUUUCCAAACAUAAAUUUUCGUACUUGAGAAUUGUAGUUCUCAUAUCCCUAAAAUAAGCUAAUAUAAUCUGGCAGCUUAUAAUCUGGUAUAAGUUUGGAACUAUUGUUCUGCCCUUUUUUCCAGAACAAGUUUGCUUUUAAGUGAAAACAGGAUUAAUUAAAGCCUAAAUUUAAUUUUAAUUAUAAUAUUAAAUUAUUAAUUAAUAUAAUUAAUAUAUUUAAAUUAUUAUUUAUUGUUUAAAUAAUAAAAUAAUUAAAUAAGUUAUUACUUAUAAUUAAUUAGCCAUAAACUAAUAUUUAUAUUGAACAAUCAUUAAUUUUUUUUUGUUAAUCUAAUUAAUUUUUUUACUCAUUAUCUAACUAAAAUAAUUUAAAAUUAUUUUAUAAUUAAUUAAUUAAUUAAUUAAUUACUAUAUUUUUAUUAUCUUAUACAAUAUUGAUAGCUAAUAAAUUUGUUAAUUUGUGUUUGAUUCCCAUCUAACCAUUAAAAUACUAUUUACCUUAUUUCCAAGAACAAUCUAAUUUUCUCCAAAUAUAAAAUUAAUCUAAUUUUUAUUUACAUCUUAAUUUGUACUUAUUACUAAAAUA